AGUCGACGAUUAAAGCACCUUCGGGUGUGUAUAGAGUGGCGAACGGGUGAGUAACACGUGACCAACCUGCCUCUUACAUUGGGACAACCAAAAGAAAUUCUGGCUAAUACCAAAUACUCCGCACAUAUCACAUGAUGUAUGCGGGAAAGCUUUUGCGGUAAGAGAUGGGGUCGCGGCCCAUUAGGUAGACGGCGGGGUAGAAGCCCACCGUGCCGAUGAUGGGUAGCCGGGUUGAGAGACCGACCGGCCACAUUGGGACUGAGAUACGGCCCAGACUCCUACGGGAGGCAGCAGUGGGGAAUAUUGCGCAAUGGGGGAAACCCUGACGCAGCAACGCCGCGUGCGGGAUGAAGGCCUUCGGGUUGUAAACCGCUUUCAGCAGGGAAGACAUCGACGGUACCUGCAGAAGAAGCCCCGGCUAACUACGUGCCAGCAGCCGCGGUAAUACGUAGGGGGCGAGCGUUAUCCGGAUUCAUUGGGCGUAAAGCGCGCGCAGGCGGUUGCUCAAGCGGAACCUCUAAUCUCGGGGCUUAACCUCCAGCCGGGUUCCGAACUGGACCACUCCAGUGCGGUAGAGGCACAUGGAAUUCCCGGUGUAACGGUGGAAUGCGCACAUAUCGGGAAGAACACCAACGGCGAAGGCAAUCUGCUGGGCCGUCACUGACGCUGAGGCGCGAAAGCUGGCGGAGCGUACAGGAUUAGAUACCCUGGUAGUCCCAGCCGUAAACGAUGAGCGCUGG
RNAcentral lists this ribosomal RNA (740 nucleotides) under uncultured bacterium. Its description in RNAcentral is "bacterial SSU rRNA". It matches the Rfam family "Bacterial small subunit ribosomal RNA", at positions 60 to 819 of the family's 1533-position model. The record is from RNAcentral.